RNAcentral lists this non-coding RNA (774 nucleotides) under Luehdorfia chinensis. The record is from RNAcentral. Lineage: Eukaryota; Metazoa; Arthropoda; Insecta; Lepidoptera; Papilionidae.
AUAAAAUUUUAUGAUUUAAAAAAUUUAAUUUAAAUUUAUUUUACAUAUAAAUUUUAGUAUGAAUUUAUAAUUAUUUUAAUAAUAAUAAUAAAUUAUUUAUAGUAAUUAACAUUAAAAAUUUAAGAAAUUAAGAUUUAGUAAUAUUAAAAUUAUUAACAAAUUUUGUGCCAGCAGUUGCGGUUAGACAAAAAAUAAUUUAAAUUUUAUCAGUAUAUAAUUAUUAAUAAAUAAUUUAAUUUAAAUAUUAAAUUAUUAGGUAAAAUUUUAAUUUAAUUAAAAUUUAUUUAAAAUUUAUGAUUUAUUAAAUUUUAUAAAAAACUAGGAUUAGAUACCCUAUUAUUAAAAAUUAAAUUUAUUAUACUAAAAUAGUAAAUAAUGAUUUAUUGAAACUUAAAUAAUUUGGCGGUAUUUUAGUACAUUUAGAGGAAUCUGUCUAAUAAUUGAUAAUCCACGAAUAAAUUUACUUAAUUUAUAAUUUUAUAUAUCGUUGUUAAAAAAAUAUUUUUUUAUAAAAAUAAUAUUUUAAAAUUUUUAUAUAAAAUUAACUCAGAUCAAGAUGUAGAUUAUAAUUAAGAAUAUGAUGGAUUACAAUAAUAAAAAUUAAAAUGAAUAAUAUUUUGUAAAUAAUAUUUGAAGGUGGAUUUAAAUGUAAUUUUAUUUAAUUUAAUAAAAUGAUUAUAUAUUAAAAUAUGUACAUAUUGCCCGUCGCUUUCAUUUAUAAAUUGAAAUAAGUCGUAACAUAGUAGAGGUACUGGAAAGUGUUUCUAGAAAGUU